This 200-nucleotide unclassified non-coding RNA is filed under the name Acanthostigma sp. RNAcentral describes it as "partial internal transcribed spacer 2". Lineage: Eukaryota; Fungi; Ascomycota; Dothideomycetes; Tubeufiales; Tubeufiaceae. The record is from RNAcentral.
UUAAGUUCAGCGGGUAUCCCUACCUGAUCCGAGGUCAAACCAUAGAAAAAUAGUUUGUUGUCAUCCGGCGGGCAGCACCUGAGGUCCGAAGCGGUUGUUUUUGACUACGCUGGGAUACAGGCACCACCGCCCACGAGUUUCGGGCACGUCCAGGCGGACGGGGCCCAAUACCAAGCAGAAGCUUGAGGUUUGAAAUGACG